Molecule: long non-coding RNA, 798 nt
Filed under: Dasypus novemcinctus (nine-banded armadillo)
Lineage: Eukaryota; Metazoa; Chordata; Mammalia; Cingulata; Dasypodidae
Description: lncRNA (ENSDNOG00000052610.1)
Source: RNAcentral
AAUCGGUUGUGUUUUUAAAAAUCAGGAAAAUGUUUACACCAUGAUUACCUUCAUUUAAAUGUUCUCAGAACAUGCUUCACAACCUCCAUUUCUGAACUUUGAUGUUGGAUGCAUUCGAUCUGCCACAAGGGAGGCGUUUGGAGUGGGAGGUGGCCUUCGUGGACAGCUCGCAGCUGGGAUCCUGGACCCAGUCCUGCCCUUUGCCCGGAGCGGAGUGGCUCUGCGCCCGCGGGGCGGCCGGGACGCGGUGCAGGGACGCGGAGAGCCAGCGAGGGGAGCUGCAGGGUAACUUUUCCCAGGGAAAGCAGCCGGUCGUCCCCGCUAGAAGCCACCCAGCCUUUUGUUUGUUUUCCUGCGGGAGGCUGGAAGGCGGCCGCGUUCCUGCUGCACUGCCAUGCGCCGCGCGGCCCGUGCGAGUCUCCGGAGCUCCCGGGGGGCCCUGCAUGGACCCCUCGGCCUCUCCUAGCAGGGAUCGCCCCCGUCUGCCGUUCCCGAGCGGGCCGCUGCGCCCCCCUCGCCGAGGAGCUGCGCUCACCGCAGGGGCGGGCCACCGCCUGCGCUCGCGGCGCCACAGGCUUUGACAGUCAUGAACUUCUGAGAAGGAUCUGUGACUUCAGUAUCAGAAACCUCAUAUCUGCUGGGGAAUGUACAAACAGAGGCAAAAGACGGAUCUUUGAAAAUAUGUAUUUGGGAGAUUGUCAUGUAUUGAAUACCUUGUGCUGGUGCUGCCAUCGAAAAAUCUGGUUACACUCUGGGGAGGCCUGCUUCCGCUGCAGGGCUGAGCCGCCUCGGCCUUGA